This 510-nucleotide ribosomal RNA is filed under the name uncultured bacterium. RNAcentral describes it as "partial 16S ribosomal RNA". It matches the Rfam family "Bacterial small subunit ribosomal RNA", at positions 28 to 507 of the family's 1533-position model. The record is from RNAcentral.
GACGAACGCUGGCGGCGUGCUUAACACAUGCAAGUCGAACGAAGAGCGAUGGGAGCUUGCUUCUAUCAAUCUUAGUGGCGAACGGGUGAGUAACGCGUAAUCAACCUGCCCUUCAGAGGGGGACAACAGUUGGAAACGACUGCUAAUACCGCAUACGAUCUAAACUCGGCAUCGAGGAUAGAUGAAAGGUGGCCUCUACAUGUAAGCUAUCACUGAAGGAGGGGAUUGCGUCUGAUUAGCUAGUUGGAGGGGUAACGGCCCACCAAGGCGAUGAUCAGUAGCCGGUCUGAGAGGAUGAACGGCCACAUUGGGACUGAGACACGGCCCAGACUCCUACGGGAGGCAGCAGUGGGGAAUCUUCCGCAAUGGACGAAAGUCUGACGGAGCAACGCCGCGUGAGUGAUGACGGCCUUCGGGUUGUAAAGCUCUGUUAAUCGGGACGAAAGGCCUUCUUGCGAAUAGGGAGAAGGAUUGACGGUACCGGAAUAGAAAGCCACGGCUAACUACGUG